GGAAAGUCGGCAGUGGACGGAUACCUUGCCAACCCCGGUCAGGUCCGGAAGGAAGCAGCCAUGACAAGUUUUGUCCGGGUCAUUGUCCGGCUUUCCACC
This 99-nucleotide signal recognition particle RNA is filed under the name Acetobacter sp. RNAcentral describes it as "signal recognition particle sRNA small type". It matches the Rfam family "Bacterial small signal recognition particle RNA". Rfam says of the family: The signal recognition particle (SRP) is a universally conserved ribonucleoprotein involved in the co-translational targeting of proteins to membranes. Archaeal SRP consists of a 7S RNA and homologues of the eukaryotic SRP19 and SRP54 proteins. RNAcentral also lists the same sequence under 1 other name. Lineage: Bacteria; Pseudomonadati; Pseudomonadota; Alphaproteobacteria; Acetobacterales; Acetobacteraceae. The record is from RNAcentral.